Molecule: non-coding RNA, 864 nt
Organism: Pelobates cultripes (western spadefoot toad)
Lineage: Eukaryota; Metazoa; Chordata; Amphibia; Anura; Pelobatidae
Source: the annotation of a GenBank genome assembly
CCUCUACCACGCUGUUCCAAAUCUGAUCCUCCCGCUGUUACACACACACUGACACACACACACAUACUCACUGACAGACACACACACAUACUCACUGACAGAUAGACACACAUACUCACUGGCAGACACACACACACACAUACUCACUGCCAGACACACACACUCACUGCCAGACACACACAUACUCACUGCCAGACACACACAAACAGACACACACAUACACACAGACUGACAGACACACACACAUACUCACUGACACACACAUACUCACAGACAGACACACACACAUACUCACAGACACACUGACAGACACAGACACACACAGACACACACACACACACUUACACAUUCUUGCACACACAUACUUUAUUUUAUUGCUCCAUACCUUUUGGUAUAGUGAUGCCGGGUGCUGGCAUAUGAUGUCAUAUUCCAACGCCCGGCUUCACUACAGACGGCGCACGCGAGAGAGCAGUGAGGAGCAGGAACACUGAGCUCCCUCGCUGGCUCUCCUCCUCGGCCGGGUAAGUUUUAGCAGAGUAGGCACCUGCAAUGUGGGGAAAGCAUGCGGCCCGCGAGCCGUAAGUUUGACAUGCUUGCUCUACUGCUUUUAUUUCCUGUAACAUUCUAUGUAGAUAUGAAAAUUCUAUGUAGAUAUGGGACUUAGUAUAGAAUGUAGAGCUUUCAGUGUAUGGAAAUGAGAAAUGCAAGAAGUUAUAUGGUCAUUGAGAGAUGUAUGGAAAGAGAAUGUAUGUGCAUUGAGAGAAGUAUGGCAAGUGGUUAUAUGGUAAUUGAGUGACGUAUGGAAAGAGAAUAUAUGGGCAUUGAGAGAUGUAUGGAAAGAGUCUAUACGGGCAGUGAAAGAAG